AAUGGGCGCAAGCCUGAUCCAGCAAUACCGCGUGAGUGAUGAAGGUCUUCGGAUUGUAAAGCUCUUUUAGUGGGGAAGAUAAUGACGGUACCCACAGAAAAAGCACCGGCAAACUUCGUGCCAGCAGCCGCGGUAAUACGAAGGGUGCUAGCGUUGUUCGGAAUCACUGGGCGUAAAGCGUACGUAGGUGGUUGAGUAAGUCAGCUGUGAAAUCCCCAAGCUCAACUUGGGAAUUGCAUCUGAAACUGCUCAGCUAGAGUAUGGUCGGGGAUAGUGGAAUUUCUAGUGUAGGGGUGAAAUCCGUAGAUAUUAGAAGGAAUACCGGUGGCGAAAGCGACUGUCUAGGCCAUUACUGACACUGAGGUACGAAAGCGUGGGGAGCAAA
RNAcentral lists this ribosomal RNA (385 nucleotides) under uncultured bacterium. Its description in RNAcentral is "bacterial SSU rRNA". It matches the Rfam family "Bacterial small subunit ribosomal RNA", at positions 370 to 772 of the family's 1533-position model. The record is from RNAcentral.